CUCUGAGAUUUGUGGCUUGUCCCUGGGACUGGGCCCACUUCUGGUUCCUGCUGGAUGAGGUCAGGAGAACAGAACAAGCCUCCACCUCAAGCCUGUACAACCAACUGUCCCAGGGGUUGGGUGUAGGUAGCACCAAGAAGAUGAGAUGCUAUAAACAAUAAGUUAGAACAGUAGCCAGAAAACCCAGGAAUGAAUGAAUGAUGUGGGGAGAUUGCAUCAAGGUGACUGAUGAACAAUAUUUGUCCUCCUGCUUCUCCCCUAAAUUCUAAAACAUACAAAAAAGGUGUUUAGGAGAAUAAAUUAAUUCCUGGCACUGCUAGGGAAAAGGGAGUUGUAACUGGCUGUAUUUUCCAAGAUGGCUAUAAGAAUAUGUUUCAUUACACAUGCUUUUCUUACAAGAGACUCUGACACUUCCCAUCCAUCACUGGGGUCUCUGUUUCUUCUCCUGGAGCCUUAGUGGAACUGUGACAUGACUGCAGCGGAAGUGAAGCCAUGGUUCAUAAAAUCUGAUUCCAUUUCUGCCUGGACUUCUGACCGUGCUUGUGAGACUCCAUGCUGUGAGAAAGCUCAAGACUCAUGGAGAUGAUGUUCCUUCUCACACCCUAGAGGAGUUGGGCCCCAGCCACCAACUCACUGCGAUCCUAUGGAAGCCUCUGAGCAAGAGCUACCUAGAUGAACCUAAUCAACUCGCAUGGCCAUGAGAGAACAAUACAAAUGACUGUUACCACAGCCACUGUAAUUUAGAAUGAUCUGCUGCUCAGCAAUAAUAAUAUAGCAAUAGCAAUAGUCAACCAGAGCACAGAUGCAAAGUGGACCAGAGGUCUAAAAACUUGGGAUCAGACUGAAGAGGAAAACAAAGCCUCAAAUUCUAGAAAUUGAGGGAACAGCUUUAGAGUGCUUCUAGUUUAUCCAGGACAGGUACAGGGGACAGACAGAGCCCCAACUCUGUCUUAGGGUGUCUCCAUUCAGAAGACCAUUCAGUGGCCCUCCUCACCAGGCAACACAUUCCUGCUUCUCACCCACAAUAGCUGCAGGAAAUGGAUAAACCACUUAACAAAGGCACCAACAGGAAAUCCCAGAGUCUAAGAUGGGCACUUCAUGAAAACAUUCUAAAUAACUGAGAAAAACCCACUACAACAUAGAGGAAGCAAUUACCAUCUGAGGUAAACUAUUUCAGAGCAUACAACAAAAUAUAAAAUAAGCCAACACAUUUUCCAAGAAGAACAGAACUUAAUACCAAAACUGGAAGACUACACAUGGUCAUGGAUGCAAAGAUUCUAAGGACUGCUGUGAAGAUCCAAUAAGAAAAUGUGUGUAAAUCACCUGGCCCAAGG
Molecule: long non-coding RNA, 1334 nt
Filed under: Heterocephalus glaber (naked mole-rat)
Lineage: Eukaryota; Metazoa; Chordata; Mammalia; Rodentia; Bathyergidae
Description: lncRNA (ENSHGLG00100034906.1)
Source: RNAcentral